AGGGCCGGGAUGCGGUGCAGUGUUGUGCUCUCGCCCACCAAUAUUGCACUCGUCCCGGCCUCC
RNAcentral lists this microRNA precursor (63 nucleotides) under Taeniopygia guttata (zebra finch). Its description in RNAcentral is "Tgu-Mir-92-P1d_pre stem-loop". The record is from RNAcentral. Lineage: Eukaryota; Metazoa; Chordata; Aves; Passeriformes; Estrildidae.